This 482-nucleotide ribosomal RNA is filed under the name uncultured bacterium. RNAcentral's name for it is "partial 16S ribosomal RNA". It matches the Rfam family "Bacterial small subunit ribosomal RNA", at positions 30 to 507 of the family's 1533-position model. The record is from RNAcentral.
AUUGAACGCUGGCGGCAUGCUUUACACAUGCAAGUCGAACGGUAACAGGCCGCAAGGUGCUGACGAGUGGCGAACGGGUGAGUAAUGCAUCGGAACGUGCCCAGUCGUGGGGGAUAACUACUCGAAAGAGUAGCUAAUACCGCAUACGAUCUAUGGAUGAAAGCGGGGGACCGUAAGGCCUCGCGCGAUUGGAGCGGCCGAUGUCAGAUUAGGUAGUUGGUGGGGUAAGGGCUCACCAAGCCAACGAUCUGUAGCUGGUCUGAGAGGACGACCAGCCACACUGGGACUGAGACACGGCCCAGACUCCUACGGGAGGCAGCAGUGGGGAAUUUUGGACAAUGGGCGCAAGCCUGAUCCAGCAAUGCCGCGUGCAGGAAGAAGGCCUUCGGGUUGUAAACUGCUUUUGUACGGAACGAAACGGCUCUGGUUAAUACCCGGGGCUAAUGACGGUACCGUAAGAAUAGGCACCGGCUAACUACGUG